This 315-nucleotide ribosomal RNA is filed under the name uncultured eukaryote. RNAcentral's name for it is "partial 18S ribosomal RNA". It matches the Rfam family "Eukaryotic small subunit ribosomal RNA", at positions 1470 to 1796 of the family's 1831-position model. The record is from RNAcentral.
CCCUUAGACGUUCUGGGCCGCACGCGCGCUACACUGACCAGUGCAACAAGCAUCCGUCCUUGGCCGACAGGCCCGGGCAAUCUUUGAACGCUGGUCGUGAUGGGGAUAGACUUUUGCAAUUUUUGGUCUUCAACGAGGAAUUCCUAGUAAACGCAAGUCAUCAACUUGCAUUGAUUACGUCCCUGCCCUUUGUACACACCGCCCGUCGCUCCUACCGAUUGAAUGGUCCGGUGAAGCCUCCGGAUUGGCGCGCACCUCGGUGCCGCCGAGAAGUUGGCUAAACCUUACCAUUUAGAGGAAGGUGAAGUCGUAACA